GUUAUGAUUCGAAUCUAUCCAUGCUUUCUGUGACUUCACCCCUCAUGAGCAUACACAGAUACACCAUUGUCAUAGUUACAAUGAAC
Molecule: small nucleolar RNA, 86 nt
Filed under: Leishmania donovani
Lineage: Eukaryota; Euglenozoa; Kinetoplastea; Trypanosomatida; Trypanosomatidae
Description: C/D box snoRNA LD36Cs-1C2
Source: RNAcentral